AGUUCGUUACUUUGCAGACCCAAUAGGUGAGUGAUUAUACUGCUGUACGAAGAUAUUAUACACCAUGUCCACCGCGUUAACGGAAACUGUUAACCUUGAUAAUGGAGACAUUAUACAAAUGCCUAAAAUGGCCCCACCACCACUUACGCCGGAGCAAAAAGAAGCGCUUGCUAAAGCGAAAAGGUAUGCUGUACAGGAAAGUGUCAAACAUGUGUUGCUUAAACAAGAGGCUCAGGCAAAGCUUGCAGUCGAAAACUCACUGGUCACAACCGCAAGCCAGCCUUUGCCAGGUUUACCAAGCGGGCUCGGUAAUGAAAACAUGUUUUUACAAAAGCAACAAGCUUUGGUGCUAAUGUGCAGGGUUUAUGUGGGCUCCAUUUACUACGAUUUAAAAGAAGAAAUUAUUCGAAAUGCAUUUUCACCAUUUGGCCCAUUUAAAUCUAUAAAUAUGUCAUUCGAUCCAAUUACCGGAAAGCAUAAAGGUUUUGCUUUCAUCGAGUAUGAGACCCCUGAAGCCGCCCAGUUAUCACUGGACCAAAUGGGAGGUGUUAUGUUAGGUGGAAGAUCCAUUAAAGUGGGUCGUCCUGCCAACAUGCCACAAAGUCAUCCAGUUAUUGAUUUACUCUUGGAUGAAUCAAAGAUGCAAAAGAGAAUUUACAUUUCUUCUGUUCAUACUGAUCUAAACACAGAAGAUUUAAAAUCUGUGUUUUCUGCCUUCGGAAACAUUCUUUCAUGUGCACUUGUCCCAGACGUGCUUACUGGAAAGCACAAAGGUUACGGCUUUAUUGAAUAUGAUACAUUGCAAGCAGCUAAUGACGCAGUUGCUUCAAUGAACUUGUUUGACCUAGGGGGUCAAUACCUUCGUGUUGGUAAAGCUAUUGCUCCUGUGGGUGUGACCAUCCCCCCUGGCAGUUCUUUUACAAACAGUGCUUUCCCAGGGGUUCCUGGAUUGCCAAGUAUAGUUGGAAUGCCUGGGUUUCCAUCCACCCCAUUACCCACACCUGCUGCCAUCCCCGCACCUGGAGUAGUUACUGCCCCAGUUUUAAGUUCAAGAUCCAACCCCAAUAUUCCACCUCCUGGGAUCGCUAUACCCACUACCAUUGCAACAACUACAAAGCAGAAAACUGCAAAGGAAACUAUGGAGCUGCCGAACACUCUCAGUGCCCAGGAGGACAUGAAGUUGUCUGGAGUGCAGGCGAGACAUAUGAUCAUGCAAAAACUGAUGCGGAAAGAGGAGGCAAGUAAAGUGAUGGUCCUCCAUAACAUGGUGGAUGUUGAGGAAAUAGAUGACGACUUGGAAUCGGAGGUGACAGAGGAAUGUGGAAAGUUUGGAUCUGUCAGUAGAGUUGUUAUUUACCAAGAAAAACAAAGUGAGGCAGAAGAUGCUCCAGUCACCGUAAAGAUAUAUGUUGAAUUCACUGACUCAGUAUUUUGUAAAAAAGCUGUCGAGUCCUUAAAUGGACGCUGGUUUGGGGGUCGAAAAAUUGAAGCAAUAAUUUAUCCCCAGCAUAAAUUUAAUCAUAAUGAUUUGACUGGAUAAACUCCUACACUGGACAGUACAUUAUAAAAGAUAAUGUGUCACUAGUCACUACAAACAAAUGAGGGUUUAUUUCAUUGAGUUGAAUAAAGUUGUUGUUUUCAAUUUGAGUGCAACCGCUGCUUUUUCUAGUUGUAAAUUUUGGUGAAGUGAAAGGUGGCUCAACACUGAAACAGAUUCACCUGUUUACUUUGCACUGCUGCAAUGAGUUUGUCUUCAAAAAUAAUUAUUCUCCUAGUACUUUAUAAUAUACUGCCAAAAAUGAUUUGGUACCCAUAGUAACGUCAUUUGUAACUGGAGCAACAUUUCUUAUUAAUGUGAAUAUGAUCAUAGUAAAAAUUGGUUUAUAUUUGGUCAAAAUAUUUUAUUUUUUGUGUACAUUACAGAAA
This is an RNA transcript of Ciona intestinalis (vase tunicate), 1926 nucleotides long. It is a transcript of the gene named poly(U)-binding-splicing factor PUF60 pseudogene, with no coding region annotated. The record is from RefSeq and is a predicted model, not a curated record. NCBI's taxonomy places the organism in Eukaryota, Metazoa, Chordata, Ascidiacea, Phlebobranchia, Cionidae.